GACGAACGCUGGCGGCGUGCUUAACACAUGCAAGUCGAACGGAAAGGCCCUGCUUUUGUGGGGUGCUCGAGUGGCGAACGGGUGAGUAACACGUGAGUAACCUGCCCUUGACUUUGGGAUAACUUCGGGAAACUGGGGCUAAUACCGGAUAGGAGCUCCUGCUGCAUGGUGGGGGUUGGAAAGUUUCGGCGGUUGGGGAUGGACUCGCGGCUUAUCAGCUUGUUGGUGGGGUAGUGGCUUACCAAGGCUUUGACGGGUAGCCGGCCUGAGAGGGUGACCGGCCACAUUGGGACUGAGAUACGGCCCAGACUCCUACGGGAGGCAGCAGUGGGGAAUAUUGCACAAUGGGCGGAAGCCUGAUGCAGCAACGCCGCGUGCGGGAUGACGGCCUUCGGGUUGUAAACCGCUUUCGCCUGUGACGAAGCGUGAGUGACGGUAAUGGGUAAAGAAGCACCGGCUAACUACGUGCCAGCAGCCGCGGUGAUACGUAGGGUGCGAGCGUUGUCCGGAUUUAUUGGGCGUAAAGGGCUCGUAGGUGGUUGAUCGCGUCGGAAGUGUAAUCUUGGGGCUUAACCCUGAGCGUGCUUUCGAUACGGGUUGACUUGAGGAAGGUAGGGGAGAAUGGAAUUCCUGGUGGAGCGGUGGAAUGCGCAGAUAUCAGGAGGAACGCCAGUGGCGAAGGCGGUUCUCUGGGCCUUUCCUGACGCUGAGGAGCGAAAGCGUGGGGAGCGAACAGGCUUAGAUACCCUGGUAGUCCACGCUGUAAACGGUGGGUACUAGGUGUGGGGUCCAUUCCACGGGUUCCGUGCCGUAGCUAACGCUUUAAGUACCCCGCCUGGGGAGUACGGCCGCAAGGCUAAAACUCAAAGGAAUUGACGGGGCCCCGCACAAGCGGCGGAGCAUGCGGAUUAAUUCGAUGCAACGCGUAGAACCUUACCUGGGUUUGACAUGGAUCGGGAGUGCUCAGAGAUGGGUGUGCCUCUUUUGGGGUCGGUUCACAGGUGGUGCAUGGCUGUCGUCAGCUCGUGUCGUGAGAUGUUGGGUUAAGUCCCGCAACGAGCGCAACCCUUGUUCACUGUUGCCAGCACGUUAUGGUGGGGACUCAGUGGAGACCGCCGGGGUCAACUCGGAGGAAGGUGGGGAUGACGUCAAGUCAUCAUGCCCCUUAUGUCCAGGGCUUCACGCAUGCUACAAUGGCUGGUACAGAGAGUGGCGAGCCUGUGAGGGUGAGCGAAUCUCGGAAAGCCGGUCUCAGUUCGGAUUGGGGUCUGCAACUCGACCUCAUGAAGUCGGAGUCGCUAGUAAUCGCAGAUCAGCAACGCUGCGGUGAAUACGUUCCCGGGGCU
This 1346-nucleotide ribosomal RNA is filed under the name uncultured bacterium. Its description in RNAcentral is "partial 16S ribosomal RNA". It matches the Rfam family "Bacterial small subunit ribosomal RNA", at positions 28 to 1381 of the family's 1533-position model. The record is from RNAcentral.